This 496-nucleotide ribosomal RNA is filed under the name uncultured bacterium. RNAcentral describes it as "bacterial SSU rRNA". It matches the Rfam family "Bacterial small subunit ribosomal RNA", at positions 26 to 518 of the family's 1533-position model. The record is from RNAcentral.
AGGACGAACGCUGGCGGCGUGCUUAACACAUGCAAGUCGAACGGGGAUUAAGUCGGAAAGGCUUCGGCCUGGAAGACUAAUCGAGUGGCGGACGGGUGAGUAACGCGUGAGCAACCUGUCCCAGACAGGGGGAUAACACUUGGAAACAGGUGCUAAUACCGCAUAAGACCACGGGGUCACAUGGCCCAGGGGGUAAAAGGAGCAAUCCGGUUUGGGGUGGGCUCGCGUCCGAUUAGAUAGUUGGUGAGGUAACGGCCCACCAAGUCAACGAUCGGUAGCCGACCUGAGAGGGUGAUCGGCCACAUUGGAACUGAGAGACGGUCCAAACUCCUACGGGAGGCAGCAGUGGGGAAUAUUGGGCAAUGGGCGAAAGCCCUGACCCAGCAACGCCGCGUGAGUGAAGAAGGCCUUCGGGUUGUAAAGCUCUGUUAUAGGGGACGAAGGAAGUGACGGUACCCUAUAAGGAAGCCCCGGCUAACUACGUGCCAGCAGCCGC